Molecule: long non-coding RNA, 4251 nt
Organism: Eriocheir sinensis (Chinese mitten crab)
Lineage: Eukaryota; Metazoa; Arthropoda; Malacostraca; Decapoda; Varunidae
Exons: 5
Source: RefSeq, a predicted model, not a curated record
CACACACACACACACACACACACACACACACACACACACACACACACUCACACACACACACACACAGGAAGGAUACCCCACUCUAUGACCCUUUUGGAGGCCUUCUAGGUAGGAUUGAGAAGUCCUACAGGAUGCUGGGAGAUGGGGCAAGGGGGGGAGGGUAAGUGCAUAUGGGUGUUGCAUCAAGUUACAUUAAUUGUUUUCCUAUAAGAUAACGUGUGUGUGUGUGUGUGUGUGUGUGUGUGUGUGUGUGUGUGUGUGUGAUUGGUUUCCUCUUAUCUUCCAUUCCGUUUAAUCCUCUUCCUCCUCUUCCAUUUCUUUCCUUCCUCCUCUUCCUCUAUUUUCUUCUUUUUUCCCUUCCUUCGUCUUAUUUUCCUUCCUCCUCUUCGUCUUUCUCACCUUCCUCCUCUUCAUUUUCCUCUUUUCCCGCUUCCUUUUCUUCCUCCUCUUCCUCUUUUUUCCCCUCCAUCCUCCUACUUCCUCUUCUUUCCUUCCUCCUCUUCCCCUUUUUUCCCUUCCUCUUAUUUUCUCCUCCUCUUCCUCUCUUUUUCCCCUCCAUCCACCUACUUCCUUUCCCUUUCCUUCAUCUACUCAAAAUUAUCCAUUCUCCUUCUCAUUCUUAACUAUUUUCCUCAUUUCUUCGUCAUCGCAUUCCUCCUCCUCCUCCUCUUCCUCCUCUUCCUCCUCCUUCUUUUCUAUUUAUUUCUCCUACCUCAUGUUCACCCACCUCCUCGUUCCACCUCUCUACAUUCCCUCUUUAUCAUCUCCUCUUCCUCCCCAUCUCCUCCCCCUCCUCGUCUCCCCUUCUUCCCCUCCAUCCCCUCGCUGGCGCCAAACUGAUGUAAACCCAACGUAUUGAUUUUAGGGGGGGGGCGAGGGGGGAGGGGAAAAGGGAGAAGGGGGAAACGUAGGUAGGUAGGUAAGGGAGGAGGGGAGAGGGGGAAUAGGAUAGGAAGAAAGGGAAGGAAGGACAAGUGGAGGAGAAGGCAGGAAGUGGAGAGGAGGGAAGGAAGGAUAAGUGGAGGAAGAGUAGGUGGAAGAGGGAGGGAAAUGAGGGCAAGGAAGGAUGGAGAGAGAGAGAGAAAGGAGAGAGAGAGAGACGAGGAAGGAUUGGAAAGGAUAUCAAGGAAAGAAAGGAGUGAAGGAAGGAAGGAAGAGAAGGAAAGGAAAUAGAAAGUGAAAGGAAGACUAAGAAGAGGAAGAGAAAUGACAGGAAUGAAAUAUAAGGAAAGGAAAGGAAGAGGAAGGAAAGAGAAAGAGAGGUAAAGGAAAGGGAAGGAAAGGAAACUAAAGGAAGAAGAAAGAAAUGAAAGCAAAAAUUACAGGAAGGGAAGGAAAUAUAAUGAAAGGAAGAGGAGGAAAACAAAGAAAAGGAAUAAAACGAGAAAAAGAUGAAAUAAAUAAAUGAAAAGGAAGAUGAAAUGAGAAAUAAAUGAAAAGUAAAAAAAAAAAGGAAAUUAAGGAAAGAGGAAGAAGAAAGAAAUGAAAAGAAAUUACAGGAAGGGAAAGAAAUAUAAUGAAAGGAAGAGGAGGAAAACAAAGAAAAGGAAUGAAACGAGAAAGAAAGAUGAAAUAAAUAAAAAUGGAAAAUGAGAUGAAAUGGAAGAAAAGAAAAAAAAAGGGGGGAGGAGGAGGAGGAGGAGGAGGACAUGAAAGGGUGCACUGAAAUAGGAGACGAGAAACCUAUCAGUGUGUGUGUGUGUGUGUGUGUGUGUGUGUGAUGGAUGAGCGUGCGUGGAGAGUGUGAUGAAUGGCAGAGGAGGUGAAGUGUGAUGGAUGAAGCGGGUAGAGUUAGGGAAGGGAUGAAGCCUGGAUGAUGUAGGGAGUGUACGGAGGCUGUCUUUGCUACUGUGUGAUAUAUAGAUAGAUAGAUAUGCAGAGGAAAUUAUGAUGAACUAGAUUGGAGGUAGAUAGAUAUGCAGAGGAAAUUAUGAUGAACUAGAUUGGAGGUAGAUAGAUAUGCAGAGGAAAUCAUGUUGAACUAGAUUGGAGGUAGAUAGAUAUGCAGAGGAAAUUAUGUUGAACUGGAUUGGAGGUAGAUAGAUAUGCAGAGGAAAUUAUGAUGAACUAGAUUGGAGGUAGAUAGAUAUGCAGAGGAAAUUAUGUUGAACUGGAUUGGAGGUAGAUAGAUAUGCAGAGGAAAUUAUGUUGAACUGGAUUGGAGGUAGAUAGAUAUGCAGAGGAAAUCAUGAUGAACUAGAUUGGAGGUAGAUAGAUAUGCAGAGGAAAUCAUGAUGAACUAGAUUGGAGGUAGAUAGAUAUGCAGAGGAAAUUAUGUUGAACUGGAUUGGAGGUAGAUAGAUAUGCAGAGGAAAUCAUGAUGAACUAGAUUGGAGGUAGAUAGAUAUGCAGAGGAAAUCAUGAUGAACUAGAUUGGAGGUAGAUAGAUAUGCAGAGGAAAUCAUGUUGAACUAGAUUGGAGGUAGAUAGAUAUGCAGAGGAAAUCAUGAUGAACUAGAUUGGAGGUAGAUAGAUAUGCAGAGGAAAUCAUGUUGAACUAGAUUGGAGGUAGAUAGAUAUGCAGAGGAAAUCAUGAUGAACUAGAUUGGAGGUAGAUAGAUAUGCAGAGGAAAUCAUGUUGAACUAGAUUGGAGGUAGAUAGAUAUGCAGAGGAAAUUAUGUUGAACUGGAUUGGAGGUAGAUAGAUAUGCAGAGGAAAUCAUGUUGAACUAGAUUGGAGGUAGAUAGAUAUGCAGAGGAAAUCAUGAUGAACUAGAUUGGAGGUAGAUAGAUAUGCAGAGGAAAUCAUGUUGAACUAGAUUGGAGGUAGAUAGAUAUGCAGAGGAAAUCAUGAUGAACUAGAUUGGAGGUAGAUAGAUAUGCAGAGGAAAUCAUGUUGAACUAGAUUGGAGGUAGAUAGAUAUGCAGAGGAAAUCAUGAUGAACUAGAUUGGAGGUAGAUAGAUAUGCAGAGGAAAUUAUGAUGAACUAGAUUGGAGGUAGAUAGAUAUGCAGAGGAAAUCAUGUUGAACUGGAUUGGAGGUAGAUAGAUAUGCAGAGGAAAUCAUGUUGAACUGGAUUGGAGGUAGAUAGAUAUGCAGAGGAAAUCAUGUUGAACUGGAUUGGAGGUAGAUAGAUAUGCAGAGGAAAUCAUGAUGAACUAGAUUGGAGGUAGAUAGAUAUGCAGAGGAAAUCAUGUUGAACUAGAUUGGAGGUAGAUAGAUAUGCAGAGGAAAUCAUGAUGAACUGGAUUGGAGGUAGAUAGAUAUGCAGAGGAAAUCAUGAUGAACUGGAUUGGAGGUAGAUAGAUAUGCAGAGGAAAUCAUGAUGAACUAGAUUGGAGGUAGAUAGAUAUGCAGAGGAAAUCAUGAUGAACUAGAUUGGAGGUAGAUAGAUAUGCAGAGGAAAUCAUGAUGAACUGGAUUGGAGGUAGAUAGAUAUGCAGAGGAAAUCAUGAUGAACUAGAUUGGAGGUAGAUAGAUAUGCAGAGGAAAUCAUGUUGAACUAGAUUGGAGGUAGAUAGAUAUGCAGAGGAAAUCAUGAUGAACUGGAUUGGAGGUAGAUAGAUAUGCAGAGGAAAUCAUGAUGAACUGGAUUGGAGGUAGAUAGAUAUGCAGAGGAAAUCAUGUUGAACUAGAUUGGAGGUAGAUAGAUAUGCAGAGGAAAUCAUGUUGAACUGGAUUGGAGGUAGAUAGAUAUGCAGAGGAAAUCAUGUUGAACUGGAUUGGAGGUAGAUAGAUAUGCAGAGGAAAUCAUGAUGAACUAGAUUGGAGGUAGAUAGAUAUGCAGAGGAAAUCAUAUUGAACUGGAUUGGAGGUAGAUAGAUAUGCAGAGGAAAUCAUGAUGAACUGGAUUGGAGGUAGAUAGAUAUGCAGAGGAAAUCAUGAUGAACUAGAUUGGAGGUAGAUAGAUAUGCAGAGGAAAUCAUGAUGAACUGGAUUGGAGGUAGAUAGAUAUGCAGAGGAAAUCAUGAUGAACUGGAUUGGAGGUAGAUAGAUAUGCAGAGGAAAUCAUGAUGAACUAGAUUGGUAUGGUUAAUUUCGAAGGGUGGGUGGGAAAGGGAGUGUAUGAAGGCUGUCGUAGUGAGAUAGAUAGAUAAAUAAAAAAGGUAUGUAGAGGAAUAUAUGUAGAACGAAAUGGCUGAAAAGAUAUGGGUAAGUUGAAACAGGAAGGGAUGAAAGCUAGAUAGAAGAACAGACAUACGUAGAUAGUUGCACUUUGGAGUUGAUGUGGAAGUAGAUAGAUAGAUCAGGUUGUUACAUAAAUGAACAGAAAUGUGGAUGGUCAGAGGAUUUUUUUUUUAUUAUUUUUU